Dicentrarchus labrax (European seabass) is the source of this 764-nucleotide long non-coding RNA. RefSeq lists it as uncharacterized. The record is from RefSeq and is a predicted model, not a curated record. Lineage: Eukaryota; Metazoa; Chordata; Actinopteri; Moronidae. The transcript is spliced from 3 exons.
UAUACAGUACAUGAGAUAUGACUCAUUGAAUACACCGACAAAAUUUAAGCUAUUUGUCUUCCACUAAUCACUGACUGGCCAGUGUAAGAUGCUACAUUACCUGCAAAGGUGACUGAGUGGAACUUGUCCCUGAACAUUUGGUGCCAAUGCUGACUCUGCUAGCGUGCAAGGUGAAUGGCGGUCAGGAUAGAGCACUUCUUCUAUGAGCUUAUUGUUUCUGGGAUCUGUCCAGAGCAGGCUGUGUUACUGAAAUGAUAUAGCCUAACACCCAGCAUUGUCUGUCACUGUCACAGUAGUUUAAAAAUGUACAGAUCCAAAGCAAACAUUUUAGUCUGGAUCAGAAAGAGAGUCAAGGAAAGAAGAACCUGGAGGUCACAUGGUCAAACCUCACAGCAUCCUUAAGUCUGCUCCUCUACCUGAUCUCUCAGACCCACAUCUUCUUCAGACAGCUCCUCUUCUGUCAGUCACCCCGGUGCCCUAAAACUGUCCUAAAUGACUUAAUCUACAGGGCGACAGUACUCCAGAGAGGCUGACUCUCCAACCGUGACCUUCUACGGCUAGAGUUUGCAUAAAUGAACUGGCUUAUGAGACAUGAUGAGACAGAGGGAGAUGCAGCGAGACAAGGCAGAGGUACGAGGUUCAGGUAGCAUCAAUGGGUCUGUCUGUGUUUGCUGUCUUGAUGUCUCACUACGUGGGAACAAGAGAGACAGAACAACUGACAUUUUGUUGCAAAAUAAAUAAAAACCAUUGUCUGAUAUGCUCUC